GACGAAGGGGGCUAGCGUUGUUCGGAAUUACUGGGCUUAAAGGGUGCGUAGGCUGCGCAGAAAGUUGGGUGUGAAAUCCCUCGGCUCAACCGAGGAACUGCGCCCAAUACUACUGUGCUCGAGGGAGACAGAGGUGAGCGGAACUUAGGGUGGAGCGGUGAAAUGCGUUGAUAUCCUAAGGAACACCCGUGGCGAAAGCGGCUCACUGGGUCUCUUCUGACGCUGAGGCACGAAAGCUAGGGUAGCGAACGGG
Molecule: ribosomal RNA, 253 nt
Filed under: uncultured bacterium
Lineage: Bacteria
Description: partial 16S ribosomal RNA
Rfam family: Bacterial small subunit ribosomal RNA
Source: RNAcentral